RNAcentral lists this microRNA precursor (103 nucleotides) under Marmota monax (woodchuck). Lineage: Eukaryota; Metazoa; Chordata; Mammalia; Rodentia; Sciuridae. The record is from RNAcentral.
AGUGUAGUUGCUGAGUCAUAUGGUAAUUCUAUGUUUAACUUUUUGAGGAUCCAACAAACUGAUUUCCACAGUUACUGAACAAUUUCACAUUCUCACCAGCAGU